This 375-nucleotide ribosomal RNA is filed under the name uncultured bacterium. RNAcentral's name for it is "bacterial SSU rRNA". It matches the Rfam family "Bacterial small subunit ribosomal RNA", at positions 365 to 758 of the family's 1533-position model. The record is from RNAcentral.
GGCCCUGGGGGAACCCCGAGCAGCGACGCCGCGUGAGCGAUGAAGGUUUUCGGAUCGUAAAGCUCUGUCGUAUGGGAAUAAAAAAAUGAAUGUACCAUACAAGAAAGGAUCGGCUAACUUCGUGCCAGCAGCCGCGGUAAGACGAGGGAUCCUAGCGUUGUUCGGAAUCAUUGGGCGUAAAGAGGGCGUAGGUGGCUAUUUAAGUCAGCUGUGAAAGCCUGGGGCUCAACCCCAGAAGUGCAGUUGAUACUAUUUAGCUUGGGUGUGGAAAAGGUAAUUAGAAUUCCUGGUGUAGUGGUGAAAUACGUAGAUAUCAGGAGGAAUGCCGGUUGCGAAGGCGGAUUACUAGUCCAACACUGACACUGAGGCCCGAAA